RNAcentral lists this ribosomal RNA (273 nucleotides) under uncultured bacterium. Its description in RNAcentral is "partial 16S ribosomal RNA". It matches the Rfam family "Bacterial small subunit ribosomal RNA", at positions 524 to 796 of the family's 1533-position model. The record is from RNAcentral.
UACGGAGGGCGCAAGCGUUGUUCGGAAUUACUGGGCGUAAAGCGCGUGUAGGCGGCCAGGUAAGUCGGAUGUGAAAGCCCGGGGCCCAACCCCGGAACUGCACCCGAUACUGCCCGGCUGGAGUCCCGGAGAGGAUGGCGGAAUUUCCGGUGUAGAGGUGAAAUUCGUAGAUAUCGGAAGGAACACCAGUGGCGAAGGCGGCCAUCUGGACGGUGACUGACGCUGAGACGCGAAAGCGUGGGGAGCAAACAGGAUUAGAAACCCCCGUAGUCC